RNAcentral lists this ribosomal RNA (469 nucleotides) under uncultured bacterium. RNAcentral describes it as "partial 16S ribosomal RNA". It matches the Rfam family "Bacterial small subunit ribosomal RNA", at positions 27 to 507 of the family's 1533-position model. The record is from RNAcentral.
GGACGAACGCUGGCGGCGUGCUUACCACAUGCACGUCGAACGGAAAGGCCCUGCUUUUGUGGGGUGCUCGAGUGGCGAACGGGUGAGUAACACGUGAGUAACCUGCCCUUGACUUUGGGAUAACUUCAGGAAACUGGGGCUAAUACCGGAUAGGAGCUCCUGCUGCAUGGUGGGGGUUGGAAAGUUUCGGCGGUUGGGGAUGGACUCGCGGCUUAUCAGCUUGUUGGUGGGGUAGUGGCUUACCAAGGCUUUGACGGGUAGCCGGCCUGAGAGGGUGACCGGCCACAUUGGGACUGAGAUACGGCCCAGACUCCUACGGGAGGCAGCAGUGGGGAAUAUUGCACAAUGGGCGGAAGCCUGAUGCAGCAACGCCGCGUGCGGGAUGACGGCCUUCGGGUUGUAAACCGCUUUCGCCUGUGACGAAGCGUGAGUGACGGUAAUGGGUAAAGAAGCACCGGCUAACUACGUG